Long non-coding RNA from Pocillopora damicornis (cauliflower coral), 557 nucleotides. The record is from RefSeq and is a predicted model, not a curated record. NCBI's taxonomy places the organism in Eukaryota, Metazoa, Cnidaria, Anthozoa, Scleractinia, Pocilloporidae.
CAGAUUUCUUCACGUCGCCACAUUGACAGGUCAAUGAAUGGCAGCUUAUUAUUUGCUGAAGAGUUGAUGGAAUGAUGGUGGAAGUGAAAGCCAAAGAACUUAGUAGUGGCCCAAACUUCACAGCUUCCCUGGGAUAGUACAACAACUGGAAGCAUUAACAUCCAUCUCCAUGAGAUUGAAAACUGAUGUUGUUGUGAUGCCAGGCAGCCCAUUGACAAGGGUAUCAACAAGCAAUUCAAAACAAAGAUCAGAACCCAGUAUCAGGAAUGGAUGGUGAAUGGUCAAUUUAUCUACCCUCCCUCAGGGAGGGAAGUGAUCUCCCAGCAAGGAACUGGUUUUGCAGUGGAUAAAUUGAGCAUGGAAGGAAAUUACAACAGAGUUGGUUGCACAAUCCUUCAAGUCCUAUAACAUUCUGAAAGCUCUCAAUGGAACUAAGGACAAAGCCAUAAGGGGAGAAGAAACAGGCAAUUGAGAGGGCAGUUUCUUCCACCGUUUGACCAGAAGUACACAGGCAUUGCAGAUCUCUCCUUGCCUCUCCUCAUUCAAUUGAAAGCAAC